GUUCCAGAGUGGAGAGGUGGACUGCUGGCCCAUGUCCUGCCCUCCAGUGGUGGACUGUGAGUUUACCCAGGUGCCCGAGGGGCAGUGCUGCCCGCGCUGCAUCACCGACCCCUGCCAGGCUGACACCGUCCGUAACGACAUCACCAAGACGUGUGUAGACGAGAACGGACUGAUGCGCUUCAGCGGAGCCGCCUGGACCAAACACAGAACAGAAUGCACCCUCUGCCAGUGCAAGAACGGACAUGUCUGUUGUUCAGUGGACCCCCUGUGCCUUUAGUCUGGCUCAGACAGAAAGAUAGUGAGAGCGAGCUCUACAAGGCAUCUAUCUUUGUACAGUCUCACCUUUAAUAACAACUGAAACCCCUCCCCCAAACCUUCAACAUCUUUAUACCAAAUACCACCUGAGCCCACCGUUCCAAGUGGAUGGAUGGCCUGCCAGCCCAACUCCAACCCUUGGUACCCAUCGACAGACUAUUGGAUGGUAUUGGAUGUUGUGAAAUAAAGUCUUCUGAUUGUAAAGAAACCUAAAGAAGUAUCUGUAUUCAGUGUCCACCUCUUUCUGCCCGUCUUUCAUUUUGUAAAGGAAAAGGACCUUGGUAUUUGUGAAAAGUAAUGUUCUGGACUUUCUCCACUCCUUUUCUGUGUACAUUCAGUUGUGUUGUUUGGUUCUGUAUUAUGGACUGUUUGUUCAGGGUUGAAUUGAAUUUAUUUGAUGGCUUGGUAUGGUGUAUUGAUGAAAUAAAGAUGUCCAUUAAAAAGGGGGACUGGUUUUCCCUCUCUGUAUGCGAUGUCGGUUUGUUUUAUAAUUCCACUCCUCCCCUAUGGAGCUGAGCUGAGGGGGAGGCUGCCAUAAAUGCUCUAUGCGUGUAAUAUGUGUAUCACUGCAUGUCACGUGCCGCUACAAACUGAUCCACGUGCUGUUACUUAACGCUGUUAUCUCUCUUUCUUUCCAUCACAUAUUUUCUCUCCAUAACCCCUGAAUCUCUCUCUCUCUCUGUCUCUCUCUCUUUCUCUCUCUCUAUCUUUCUCUCUCUCUCUCUCUCUAUCUCUCGCUUUCUCUCUCUCUCUCUCUCUCUCUCUCUCUCUGUCACUCUCUCUCGCUCUCUCUUUCUCUCUCUCUCUCGUCUCUCGUUAUCUCUGUCUCUCUCUCUCUCUCCCUCUCUCUCUCUCUCUCUCUCUCUCUCUCUCUCUCUCUCUAGAACGGACAUGUCUGUUGUUCAGUGGACCCCCUGUGCCUUUAGUCUGGCUCAGACAGAAAGAUAGUGAGAGCGAGCUCUACAAGGCAUCUAUCUUUGUACAGUCUCACCUUUAAUAACAACUGAAACCCCUCCCCCAAACCUUCAACAUCUUUAUACCAAAUACCACCUGAGCCCACCGUUCCAAGUGGAUGGAUGGCCUGCCAGCCCAACUCCAACCCUUGGUACCCAUCGACAGACUAUUGGAUGGUAUUGGAUGUUGUGAAAUAAAGUCUUCUGAUUGUAAAGAAACCUAAAGAAGUAUCUGUAUUCAGUGUCCACCUCUUUCUGCCCGUCUUUCAUUUUGUAAAGGAAAAGGACCUUGGUAUUUGUGAAAAGUAAUGUUCUGGACUUUCUCCACUCCUUUUCUGUGUACAUUCAGUUGUGUUGUUUGGUUCUGUAUUAUGGACUGUUUGUUCAGGGUUGAAUUGAAUUUAUUUGAUGGCUUGGUAUGGUGUAUUGAUGAAAUAAAGAUGUCCAUUAAAAAGGGGGACUGGUUUUCCCUCUCUGUA
Molecule: long non-coding RNA, 1747 nt
Organism: Oncorhynchus kisutch (coho salmon)
Lineage: Eukaryota; Metazoa; Chordata; Actinopteri; Salmoniformes; Salmonidae
Exons: 2
Source: RefSeq, a predicted model, not a curated record